GCAUGGCUCAAGGCAGAAAUUGUCUUCAUCCGACGGAAAAGGACUUCAGACCGAUAAAUAAGUAGUAGAAUAUGCAGACGACGUUGUCCUAAUGUUCACGGGGAAAUUCCCCCAAACACUCUGUGAUCUUAUGACCACAAAACUUGCGCGACUGUCAGAAUGGACAAGACUGUGUGGACUUGUACUAUUUACUUACAAGUACAAAACUCAGUCACUUAACCCCCCAAAUUUAAAAAAAUGUAGAUUUACC
Molecule: long non-coding RNA, 250 nt
Filed under: Drosophila guanche
Lineage: Eukaryota; Metazoa; Arthropoda; Insecta; Diptera; Drosophilidae
Source: RNAcentral